CCGUAUUUACACAAAAACUGCCAUCGGCAGGAAAUAUCUCGCGAAUCGUUUUCGCCCAUCGCCCCUCCCUCACACCCAACCCCUCCCGAGUGAACACAGCAGGCGACCGGCGGCGUCCCGACCUCGAUCCCGUGCCGCCCGGGCGCGCCGCCGGCCCGACCCGUCGGAUCGUCAUCUUCCCCCGCCGGAUCCGCCCCUUCCAUAGCCGGCCCCCUCGUUCCCAUCCUUCUACGUCUCCCGACCGCUGCUCGAUGCCCCGUCUCCCGAUGCCUCCCGCCGCCCGUCUCCCGACCGCCGCCCGACCAAGCUCCGCCGGCCUCCUCCGUCGUUCCCUCCGCUCCUCUGUCUAGUUUUCCUCCGUCCGCCUGACCAAGCUGCGCCGGCCUCCUCCACUGACCGUGCCCACCUCCAGCGGCAGCUAGGUGAUCAUCUCCCUUUCGUUUUCCCCUUUGUAUUCUAUGAUUUCUGUAGCUAUGAACUGGCAGCAAGAUUUGUGUAGCUAUGAAGUGGUAUUAGUUGGUUUGUCAGUUUGUCCAUGUGUGGAAUUUUUGUAGCUAUGAACUGUCCAAGUGUGGAAUUUGUGUAGCUAUGAACUGUCCAAGUGUGGAACUUUUGUAGCUAUGAACUGUCCAAGAGUGGAAUUUUUGUAGCUAUGAACUGGUGUUAGUUGUAAUUAUGUCCAUUGGUGGAUUGUUGUUUGUGGUGUUUUCAUUCUAUCAUAAGAUCUGUCCAGUACAGAUGUUUGCGACUUAUUUCUAUGUUUAUUUCAUAAGUGAAACAAUGGAUGGUGAUAAAAGCAGUCAAAAGGCAGUGUGAGAUACCGAUGCGGCAAGGAUUUUUUGUGAGAUUGCUUGCAAAGAGGCCAACGAGGGAAAUAGGCCUACCAAGACUUUGAGUGUUACAGGUUAUAAAAAGUUUCAUAAACAAACUGGAAGGCUUUAUACCCGUAAGCAAUUCAAAAACCGUAGAGAUGAAUUGAAAAGCAUCUGGACAGCAUGGGUGUAUUAUAUGACAAAGGCUACUGGACUUGGAUGGGAUCCUGUUAAAAACACUAUAACAGCUAGUGAAGAGGAGUGGGCUGACCUAAUCAAGGAUAUUAGAUGUUUUCGAAAAGGGCCCCCGGACAACUUGGAAUGGCUAGAGAAAAUGUUCCAAAAAGUUAGUGUGACCGGCAAUUCCUCGGUGAUGCCCGGAGCUAAAGACGAUGACAUUGAUGAACGCCAAGAUGUCGAUGGUAUUGUUGACUUGUAGGCUGGCGAUGAAGGAACCCCUCAACCUAGUCCUUUGCAUGUGCCAAAAAUGAAGCGUGGGGUGGGGGGGGCAAAGUGCCAUACCUUGCAGUCCAAAGAGGCCCAAGAAAGAUCCUUAUGGAAAGGAUUUCAAAAGAUUUGUUGAUCCUGUCAUUAGUGAGGAGAAAUCAUGUGCAUCUAGCAAUGUGUCGGUUGCUAAUGAUAUUGAUGCCAUCAUGGAGGAAGUUGUCAAGUGUGGGGCACCUGAGACAAGUGAUGAGUGCUAUAUUGCUACAAAGUUGUUUGGUAAACUUGAAAAUAGAUGUUUCUUUUAUGCUAUGAAGACUACUGAUGGGAGGCUCAAGUGGUUGAAGAGGCAGUAUGAAGACAGGAAGAGGCAUUAGAACAUGAUUCACUUGUGUGUUGUAUCCUUUAUUUUAUUUGAGACUAGUAUGUGUGCUGCUACUAUUUGUUUAUUUGAGACUAUUGUGUGUGUGUGCUGGUACUAUUUAUUAAUUGGAGACUGGUGUAUGUGCUGCUACUAUUUGAGACUAUUGUGUGUGUGCUGCUACUAUUUGAUUGCUUGAGACUGGUGUAUGUGCUGCUAUUAUUUGA
Brachypodium distachyon (stiff brome) is the source of this 1844-nucleotide long non-coding RNA. RefSeq lists it as uncharacterized. The transcript is spliced from 2 exons. The record is from RefSeq and is a predicted model, not a curated record. Lineage: Eukaryota; Viridiplantae; Streptophyta; Magnoliopsida; Poales; Poaceae.